RNAcentral lists this ribosomal RNA (459 nucleotides) under uncultured bacterium. Its description in RNAcentral is "partial 16S ribosomal RNA". It matches the Rfam family "Bacterial small subunit ribosomal RNA", at positions 338 to 795 of the family's 1533-position model. The record is from RNAcentral.
CCUACGGGAGGCAGCAGUGAGGAAUAUUGGUCAAUGGGCGGAAGCCUGAACCAGCCAAGUAGCGUGCGGGAUGAAGGCCCUACGGGUCGUAAACCGCUUUUGCACGGGGAUAACACCCUCCACUUGUGGAGGUCUGCAUGUACCGUGCGAAUAAGGGCCGGCUAAUUCCGUGCCAGCAGCCGCGGUAAUACGGAAGGCCCGAGCGUUAUCCGGAUUCAUUUGGCUGAAAGGGAGCGUAGGCGGGCGUUAAAGUCAGCUGUAAAAUCUCGCGGCUCAACCGCGCCCCGCAGUUGAAACUGGACGACUUGAGUUCACAACAGGCAGGCGGAAUGCGAGGUGUAGCGGUGAAAUGCAUAGAUAUCACGAGGAACCCCGAUGGCGAAGGCAGCCUGCCGGGGUGCGACUGACGCUGAGGCUCGAAAGCGCGGGUAUCGAACAGGAUUAGAUACCCGGGUAGUC